Molecule: ribosomal RNA, 531 nt
Filed under: uncultured Flavobacterium sp.
Lineage: Bacteria; Pseudomonadati; Bacteroidota; Flavobacteriia; Flavobacteriales; Flavobacteriaceae
Description: bacterial SSU rRNA
Rfam family: Bacterial small subunit ribosomal RNA
Source: RNAcentral
AGAGACCGGCGCACGGGUGCGUAACGCGUAUGCAAUCUACCUUUCACAGAGGGAUAGCCCAGAGAAAUUUGGAUUAAUACCUCAUAGUAUAGCAGUUUCGCAUGAAACCACUAUUAAAGUCACAACGGUGAAAGAUGAGCAUGCGUCCCAUUAGCUAGUUGGUAAGGUAACGGCUUACCAAGGCAACGAUGGGUAGGGGUCCUGAGAGGGAGAUCCCCCACACUGGUACUGAGACACGGACCAGACUCCUACGGGAGGCAGCAGUGAGGAAUAUUGGACAAUGGGCGCAAGCCUGAUCCAGCCAUGCCGCGUGCAGGAUGACGGUCCUAUGGAUUGUAAACUGCUUUUAUACGAGAAGAAACACUCCUUCGUGAAGGAGCUUGACGGUAUCGUAAGAAUAAGGAUCGGCUAACUCCGUGCCAGCAGCCGCGGUAAUACGGAGGAUCCAAGCGUUAUCCGGAAUCAUUGGGUUUAAAGGGUCCGUAGGCGGUCAGAUAAGUCAGUGGUGAAAGCCCAUCGCUCAACGGUGGA